CGGGUCUUGAACAGGUCGCCAAUGUAUCUCAGCUGAACACAGAGACUGACACUGUCAUUAACAACGUACUGUAGAGCCGCUCUUUCACUGCACUUGUACUUUUAUGACAAAAGCAGAUGUCGCCCCGCUGUCCGGGCCAGCAGUUGUGUUUUUCGCGUUUCAAGAGGUUCAUUUUUCUUUGGAUGAAGUGUCAGCUGCAGGAGCAGGUACGCGGUGAGAGUACCAAGUGGUGGUGGGAAGACAUACUGAUUCAGCAGAAAUCUUCACCUGCACACUCUGUUGAGGAAGCUUCCUGAUCGCACAAACCACAGCCUGGGACUGACAGCUGCUGCCACCACCUGAGAUAGCAGGAGAAUAAUGAGGACGGGGAAGAGAGAUAAUGCCACUGGGGGAUUUUAAUAAAAAAUAUAUAUUCAUGAUUAGACCACAG
Acanthopagrus latus (yellowfin seabream) is the source of this 430-nucleotide long non-coding RNA. RefSeq lists it as uncharacterized. The transcript is spliced from 4 exons. The record is from RefSeq and is a predicted model, not a curated record. NCBI's taxonomy places the organism in Eukaryota, Metazoa, Chordata, Actinopteri, Spariformes, Sparidae.